GAUGAACGCUGGCGGCGUGCUUAACACAUGCAAGUCGAACGAUGAAGCCCAGCUUGCUGGGUGGAUUAGUGGCGAACGGGUGAGUAACACGUGAGUAACCUGCCCUUAACUCGGGGAUAAGCCUGGUAAACUGGGUCUAAUACCGGAUAGGAGCGUGCACCGCAUGGUGGGUGUUGGAAAGAUUUAUCGGUUUUGGAUGGACUCGCGGCCUAUCAGCUUGUGGGUGAGGUAAUGGCUCACCAAGGCGACGACGGGUAGCCGGCCUGAGAGGGUGAACGGCCACACUGGGACGGAGACACGGCCCAGACUCCUACGGGAGGCAGCAGUGGGGAAUAUUGCACAAUGGGCGAAAGCCUGAUGCAGCGACGCCGCGUGAGGGAUGACGGCCUUCGGGUUGUAAACCUCUUUCAGUAGGGAAGAAGCGAAAGUGACGGUACCUGCAGAAGAAGCACCGGCUAACUACGUG
Molecule: ribosomal RNA, 466 nt
Filed under: uncultured bacterium
Lineage: Bacteria
Description: partial 16S ribosomal RNA
Rfam family: Bacterial small subunit ribosomal RNA
Source: RNAcentral